UUUCUUAUGGACCGCCGAGGUGUGUC
This 26-nucleotide microRNA is filed under the name Meleagrid alphaherpesvirus 1 (Turkey herpesvirus). RNAcentral's name for it is "hvt-miR-H12-5p". Its record names the gene hvt-miR-H12-5p. Lineage: Duplodnaviria; Heunggongvirae; Peploviricota; Herviviricetes; Herpesvirales; Orthoherpesviridae. The record is from miRBase by way of RNAcentral.